Zingiber officinale is the source of this 1048-nucleotide RNA transcript. RefSeq lists it as uncharacterized. The record is from RefSeq and is a predicted model, not a curated record. NCBI's taxonomy places the organism in Eukaryota, Viridiplantae, Streptophyta, Magnoliopsida, Zingiberales, Zingiberaceae. The transcript has 9 exons.
CAGCCCUUAACCGUCACUUUGGCCUCCGUUGUGCUGCGGCGGGGACUCCAUGGAGCUGAGCGCGAAAUGGCGGAAGAAGCAUCGUCUGGAAGGUGACGGCGUUGACGUCGAGGAUGACUCAGAGCCAAUCGAUUACCAAGAACAAGAGGAGAUGGUUAGAUCUUUUGAGAUGGAGCAUGAUCGACAGAAUCGCCUUUGGAGGCGUGUUUUCGCUGGAUUUAUCGUCGGAUAUAUUGCCUUCCUGGUCUACUCAAUCUUACAGCAAGCUUGGUUCCCAUGGGAACUGCGUUAUCAUGCUUAUUUUAUGGAUGAAAUGCAAAGCUGGAUGGUCAUAUCUGCAGACUUGGUUGCUGUCCUAGCUUGUUCAUUUGCUGUUAAGGGAAUAAUUGAUAGUUCAAGAUCUCUGCAGCAUUGGAUGUGGUACUCGUGCUACGUCGGGAUGCUGCUUGCCAUCUUUUGGUUGUUUUACAUGCUGAAGUUGCCAAAAUUUCGGUGGGAUGUACUAUGGCUUCCGUUGGGUCCUUUAAGUGGUGCGGGAGCCUGCCUUUACGUGGAUCGUUUGUUACAUGGAUCACUGAAAGAUGUAAAGUUGCUCCGUAGCUAUAUGUAUAAUUACAAGGCCUUGUAGAUCUGAUUCCUCCAGUUGGCUAAGGAAUCUGUGUGUGUAGGGCUCUUCUUGGUCAAUGCUGCUGUCAUACCUUUUGAUCGACAUUAUUGUGUAUACGUGCUCGUUUGCAUAACAAGUACAAAAUGGUUUGCCCUCUUUCAAUUUCUUGUCUCUAUUGCUGGUUGCAGGCUUGUACCUCACACAAAAAGGGCUCUUCUUCAAUGCUGCUGUCAUACCUUCUGAUCGACGGUAUUGUGUAUGCGUGCUCGUUUGCAUCACAAAGUAAUUGUCUCUAUUGCUGGUUGUAGGCUUGUACCUCUCACAAAAAGUCUGUUGUAAUUGGAUCAGAGCCAAAAUGUUCAAUUUGUUUCAUUGUAAGGCCGUGAGAAUGACUAUAUCAAUUUUCAUUAGUAUUGAAUUACAAAUAUAUUAGUUUGUGCA